This 655-nucleotide ribosomal RNA is filed under the name Enterococcus avium. RNAcentral's name for it is "partial 23S ribosomal RNA". It matches the Rfam family "Bacterial large subunit ribosomal RNA", at positions 1 to 659 of the family's 2925-position model. Lineage: Bacteria; Bacillati; Bacillota; Bacilli; Lactobacillales; Enterococcaceae. The record is from RNAcentral.
GGUUAAGUGAAUAAGGGCGCACGGUGGAUGCCUUGGCACUAGGAGCCGAUGAAGGACGGGACUAACACCGAUAUGCUUCGGGGAGCUGUAAGUAAGCUUUGAUCCGGAGAUUUCCGAAUGGGGAAACCCAGCAUCUUUUAUAGGAUGUUACUUUUCAGUGAAUACAUAGCUGAUUAGAGGUAGACGCAGAGAACUGAAACAUCUAAGUACCUGCAGGAAGAGAAAGAAAAAUCGAUUCCCUGAGUAGCGGCGAGCGAAACGGGAAAAGCCCAAACCAAGAGGCUUGCCUCUUGGGGUUGUAGGACUCCGAUAUGGUAGUCCAGUGAGAUAGUCGAAGGACCUGGAAAGGUCUGCUAGAAAGGGUAAAAGCCCCGUAGACAAAAUUUGACUGGCACCUAGGAGGAUCCUGAGUACGGCGGAACACGAGGAAUUCCGUCGGAAUCCGGGAGGACCAUCUCCCAAGGCUAAAUACUCCCUAGUGACCGAUAGUGAACCAGUACCGUGAGGGAAAGGUGAAAAGCACCCCGGAAGGGGAGUGAAAUAGAUCCUGAAACCGUGUGCCUACAACAAGUUAGAGCCCGUUAAUGGGUGAUAGCGUGCCUUUUGUAGAAUGAACCGGCGAGUUACGAUUACUUGCGAGGUUAAGUUGAAAAGA